AUGCACGCUGGCGGCGUGCCUAAUACAUGCAAGUCGAGCGAACGGACGAGAAGCUUGCUUCUCUGAUGUUAGCGGCGGACGGGUGAGUAACACGUGGAUAACCUACCUAUAAGACUGGGAUAACUUCGGGAAACCGGAGCUAAUACCGGAUGAUAUUUUGAACCGCAUGGUUCAAAAGUGAAAGACGGUCUUGCUGUCACUUAUAGAUGGAUCCGCGCUGCAUUAGCUAGUUGGUAAGGUAACGGCUUACCAAGGCAACGAUGCAUAGCCGACCUGAGAGGGUGAUCGGCCACACUGGAACUGAGACACGGUCCAGACUCCUACGGGAGGCAGCAGUAGGGAAUCUUCCGCAAUGGGCGAAAGCCUGACGGAGCAACGCCGCGUGAGUGAUGAAGGUCUUCGGAUCGUAAAACUCUGUUAUUAGGGAAGAACAUAUGUGUAAGUAACUGUGCACAUCUUGACGGUACCUAAUCAGAAGGCCACGGCUAACUACGUG
RNAcentral lists this ribosomal RNA (496 nucleotides) under uncultured bacterium. RNAcentral describes it as "partial 16S ribosomal RNA". It matches the Rfam family "Bacterial small subunit ribosomal RNA", at positions 29 to 507 of the family's 1533-position model. The record is from RNAcentral.